RNAcentral lists this long non-coding RNA (585 nucleotides) under Sus scrofa (pig). RNAcentral's name for it is "lncRNA (ENSSSCG00070020955.1)". The record is from RNAcentral. Lineage: Eukaryota; Metazoa; Chordata; Mammalia; Artiodactyla; Suidae.
AUGCUCUCGGCCUGCCUUCUCCAUGUUUCUCCAGCGCUCUCCCUCGUCUACCGGGGUUUGGAACCAGAGGUGGCAAGGGAAGUGGCACGCGUUAUUUCCGGGCGCUGGCCUACGUCCCCCCCCCCCGCCCCACGCCACCCCUCCGGCGAGAGUGGACAGGGCUACAUCCGCCUGCUCAGCGGCGCCCGAGGGGGCUGCAGACACUGUACGACCCGGGCUCCCCAGCCCGGGCCGCUCUCCCAACACUGGAGUCUUUCGAGCCUCGGAGGAGCGCAGGCGCCGCUGCGCUCCCAGCCCGUCCGGCCACCAGGGGGCGCCCGCCCGGCGCGGGGCUGGAGCUGCUUUCUUCCCCAGGACUGGACGAGGGCCGGCGGAGUUGCUUUCCAAGAUGUACCCAGGGCCGGCUGUUUCCCAGUGAAUAAAAAGACAUUUAUAAUAUUGUUCCCAUUCACUCAAAAGAAGAAAAAAAAAGAAAAAGAAAAAAAGAAGAAAAAAAAAGUGAGUUCCUGCAUCAAACUGCAGUCAGGAAAGAGUCCUUGAGCAAUAACGAUACUUGCGGACGUGACUUUGAAUGUCAAGAUUAAG